Molecule: small nuclear RNA, 107 nt
Organism: Acinonyx jubatus (cheetah)
Lineage: Eukaryota; Metazoa; Chordata; Mammalia; Carnivora; Felidae
Source: RefSeq, a predicted model, not a curated record
GUGCUCGCUUCUGCAGCACAUAAACUAAAAUUGGAACGAUGCAGAGGAGAUUAGCAUGGCCCCUGUGCAAGGAUGACACACAAAUUCAUGAAGUUUUACAUAUUUUU